Molecule: ribosomal RNA, 425 nt
Filed under: uncultured bacterium
Lineage: Bacteria
Description: bacterial SSU rRNA
Rfam family: Bacterial small subunit ribosomal RNA
Source: RNAcentral
UAAGAAUAUUCCGCAAUGGACGAAAGUCUGACGGAGCGACGCCGCGUGGAUGAAGAAGGCCGAAAGGUUGUAAAAUCCUUUUGCUGAUGAAGAAUAAGUGUGGUAGGGAAUGACAGCAUGAUGACAUUAGUCGGUGAAUAAGCCCCGGCUAACUACGUGCCAGCAGCCGCGGUAACACGUAGGGGGCAAGCGUUGUUCGGAAUUAUUGGGCGUAAAGGGCAUGUAGGCGGUUUUGUAAGCCUGGUGUGAAAUCCUGCAGCUUAACUGUAGAAUUGCAUUGGGUACUGCGAGACUUGAAUCACAGAGGGGAAACUAGAAUUCCAGGUGUAGGGGUGGAAUCUGUAGAUAUCUGGAAGAAUACCGGUGGCGAAGGCGGGUUUCUAGAUGAUGAUUGACGCUGAGGUGCGAAAGUGCGGGGAGCAAAC